This 83-nucleotide microRNA precursor is filed under the name Bombyx mori (domestic silkworm). Its description in RNAcentral is "mir-2807 microRNA precursor family". It matches the Rfam family "mir-2807 microRNA precursor family". The record is from Rfam by way of RNAcentral. Lineage: Eukaryota; Metazoa; Arthropoda; Insecta; Lepidoptera; Bombycidae.
UUAACUCAAUUUUGUGUGGAGUUUUAAUGUUUGCUUAGUUUGCCCCUAGGGGCACUGUUCCAGCGGCAUACAAACUUCAGGUA